RNA transcript from Cygnus atratus (black swan), 3806 nucleotides. It is a transcript of the gene named hepatocyte cell adhesion molecule-like, with no coding region annotated. The record is from RefSeq and is a predicted model, not a curated record. The transcript has 12 exons. NCBI's taxonomy places the organism in Eukaryota, Metazoa, Chordata, Aves, Anseriformes, Anatidae.
CACUUCCGAGGACGGGGAGGAAGAGAGCAGCGUGCUGAAUCAGAGCUGGUGCUAGGACAGCUGCGCUGGGGCUCCACAGAACCACAGAACGGGUUAAUUUUUUUUUGCUGGGAGGCUGGAGCGAGGCUGCAGGGACGGCACAGCCCUCCAGGAGUGCACUGCUGCUGCUUUAGGAGAAGAACAACAGGGCGAGGCCCUGGUUAUCGUGGGGGAUUUCAACUACCCUGACGCUUGCUGGAAGGCCUACUCAGCCAGCCAUCCGCAGUCCAGGAGGUUCCUCCAGUGCACUGAUGAUAACUUCCUGACGCAAAUGGUGGACGUGCCAAAUAAGAGAGGAGUGCUGCUGGGUCUUGUCCUCACUAACAAGGAGGAGCUGGUUGAAGCGGUGAAGGUCUAGGGCAGCCUUGGUUGCAGAGACCCUGAGAUGGUGGAGUUCGGGAUCUCAUGUGGCAGGAACAGAAUACUGAGCAGAAUUGCAUCCCUGGACUUCAGUAGGGCCAACUUUGGCCUUUUCAAGCAAUUGCUAGGGGAAUCCCAAAGGACAUGGUGCUUGAAGGAAAAGGAGCCCAAGAUAGUCGGUUAGCAUUCAAGGACUGCUUCUUCUGAGCUCAAGAUCAGAGCAUCCCAACAGAUGCUGUUCUGAUGUUUGCAGGGGUCCAUGGAAGCCAGCUGGAUGCUGCCAGGAGGCUGGUCCAUCACUGCUAGAGCGACCCUCCUGAGAGCGCGUUGCUGCAGAAGGAGCUCAAUCCUCGUGCCGGUUUGAAAGCACCUGCAGGUCUUUGCCAUGUCCUUCGCAGGCUACCUGCUGCUGCUUUUGAAGGGGUCCUGUCUUGCAGCAGAAAUGACACUAACAGUGGCAGAGGAAGGAUCCUCUGUCAUGAUGCACGCACCGGCUAUCAAGAAUGUGAACUUGACCGAGUGGGAAUACAUAAGAGACAGCACCCCCCAAUUCAUCCUGCAGUACUAUGCGGACUCACAGUUAAUAACCAUUUACCCAGCUUACAAAGACAGAGUGGUUUUCUACCAAAACAAUGGCUCCUUUGUCCUGCAGAAGCUGCGAGAGAUGGACAGUGGCAUCUAUAAAGCAACAGUUGACUUGAUGCAGGACAAAGCAAGAAUGACCUCUCUUAGAGUGAUCAAGCCCUUGCCCCAGCCCAAGCUCCUGAGCAGCUCAAACCUGGCCGGUUCACUCAUCAACCUGACCUGCAUGCUGCCAGAAGGAAUGGUGGCUGAUGUCUCCUGGAAGAAGGACGGACAUCCCCUUCCUCCUGAAAAGUGCUGUCGGCUCACUUGGAAGACCACCAUGCUGCAGAUAAGGAAGGCAGAGAAGUCGGAUUGCGGCUCCUACUCCUGCAUAAUCAACAACUCCGUAAGCUGGAAGGAGGCAGCCCUCAACCUGACCGUGACAGGUCUUACACCUCCUGUCCGUGCUGCACAGAUGAUGACCGCUGCUGCGCUGGUGCUCGCUGCUAUCUCUGCCGUCCUCUUCGUUAUCCAGCUCUGUCAGCUGGGGAAGCACAAACUCGGAAAGGAAGCAUGGAAAUGGUUAAUGAUGACCAUUCUAGGGCUGCUGUGCACCUCUUCUCUCCUCCUGUUUGCUGCCUCUGUCAUCUGGAUGCAGGAAGAUGGUCAUUCCGCUGCCUUCAUCCUGCUCGGGCUUUUCCUCGUGGCUGUGAUCGUGGCCACGGCGCUGACAGCGGUGGCGAUGGCGCCGUGCAGACCAGCAGUGCUCACACACUUCAGGUCCAAAGGCUGGCACCGUGUCAUCCUGUGCAUUACAGCCACGACGCUGGUAGUCAACCUGCUGUUCACCAGCCUCCUGCUCCACAGCUUCCAUCAGCUCCACGAGCGGGGCUGCUCAGAGGCUGUCGAUCUGACCAUCGGCUUCAUCAUUCCUGCUGUGGCAGCCCUCCCCAUACCGCUGCUCCUCUUCCGGUGUUGUAAGUAGCCCAGUGGUUUCCUUCCAGCCACACCAAGUAGCUGCUCCGUCACUGAGACCCCGCUCUCAGCUCCCACCCCCUGGCAUCAGGUCUUGAGAGAAGAGGCAAAGUGCCUCUGCUUCACCCAGGGAUGCUCAAGGAGGUGUUCAUGGAAAGCGAGUUUCUCCCCCCGAAUGUGGAGGAUGCUCUUUUGCUCUCCUCCUCACUCAGGAGACGUGGGCUGGUGCCCAGCUGGCCACUAACCUGAGCAGUAGUGAACCCACGGUGUGGCUCGCCGGCUCCCCAGAAACGCGUGCGCAGCCUUCAGCAUCACCUGCAGGAACGGGUGCAGAAAAGGCUCCAUGACGUGUUGAGGAGAAGGCUGGAAGGGGACCCCCUGCUUUCCCAGGGUGUGCAGAACAUUUGGGAAUCUGAAAUACAAGAAAUAUUGCACUAACCUACCAAUGGCUGGUACGUUAGAGAUGCAGGGGCUUGCAGGCAAGUCGCAUUUUCACAUGUCCCUGUGAAGCUCAGAGUGGCCUUGGAAACGCAGGAGCUGAUGCCCUCUCCUUCAUUUCCAGCUUACAAGAAUAAGCGGGAGAAGCAGCAGCAGCCGGACACCCAGGAGGCCACCCACAGCUUACAGGCCACGUCCACCUCGGUGACUCGCUGCCCACUUCAGGUGUCUCCUUCUCCGGUUGCUGCAGAGCCUCAUAAUGUAACAAUGAAUAUUUAAUACUCACCGGGAAGCAUCCAUCUGCCUUUCUGCAGAACGGCAUGGGCAGCUUUGUCACCACCCGGGGGGGUGACAUCAAAAGAACCAGUCAUUGGAAAAUCUGGUACAUUCCUCCUAGGCCAGUCCAGAAACGUAACGAAUGCCAAAGUGGAUACUGGAUGAUUUUGAGUCUUAAGGAUUCUUUGUAAUACAUCUAAGUUAGAUUGCUGCUCUUUUGUAAGUGAGCUUCCCGUGGUUCCUGACCGCUCACCUCCUGUCCUGCAGAUCGGUGAUGGGUGCUCGAGAUCCUUUCCUUUUCCUCCAACUAUGGUUGGGUUGGGCAUUGCCACCAGAAUGGACUGCUACAGCCUCACUUGUGCCACACGUUGGUACCAUGUAUGGUGACGGAGUGCACGGACUCUUACUGUGAUCAAGUAAGAGUCUCUAUUGCAACCCGGCUAUGCUCCUUUUACACACUUUCCUUCCAGAGGUUUUCCUUCCACAAAACCCUCCAGCCCCCCUUUACAGUCCUUUGAUCCUUGUAUUUCUCAGGCUGGUAGGUACCUUAUCGCAACCUCCUGUUCCCAUGCCGGGUUUUGGUCACGCUUCGUUACUUUCCUCUUUCCUGGGCCUCAUGGCAGUCCUUGCUCUUACCUCCUCUUGUUAUUUAUGUAUCCCCCACAUGUCUCUUGUCUUCAGAACUCCCUUCCUGGAUUUUCAUGAGUCUUAUCCACAUUUCUAAUUAAACCUACUUUUUCUACGUUUCCCACAAUUUAUCCAUAUACAUUGUUAAUUAAACCUACAUUUUCUAUAUGAUUACAUAUCCCACACUGGUCUACCUUUUUGCAGUUGCCCUUUCCUGGGCCUUGACCAUUAUUCUUGUUGGCACCCUCUCCUUUUCUGAUUUUUUAUUUAUAAAUAUAUAUGUUCUGUUUUUCUAUAUAUAUAUUCUGAUUUUUUAUAUGAAUUUAAAAGCACCUGUGACCUAGCCUGAGCUGAUUUCCCUUGCACAGGCACUUAGCUGACCUUGUAGUCAUGCCACAGCUGUCAGUGGUCUCCAUAUUUGUGGGUUGAAGUGUUUUAGGUGGAGCUGAAGGUCCUUUUUUGUCCCUCUGGUAUCAGCUGAGAAACGUGUUCAUAUAUGAAAAUAAAAUAAAUAAGUAAACAACCUA